GCGGAGGAAAAGAAACCAACAGGGAUUGCCCUAGUAACGGCGAGUGAAGCGGCAACAGCUCAAAUUUGAAAUCUGGCUCUUUUAGGGUCCGAGUUGUAAUUUGCAGAGGGCGCUUUGGCGUUGGCAGCGGUCCAAGUUCCUUGGAACAGGACGUCACAGAGGGUGAGAAUCCCGUACGUGGUCGCUGGCCUUCGCCGUGUAAAGCCCCUUCGACGAGUCGAGUUGUUUGGGAAUGCAGCUCUAAAUGGGAGGUAAAUUUCUUCUAAAGCUAAAUACUGGCCAGAGACCGAUAGCGCACAAGUAGAGUGAUCGAAAGAUGAAAAGCACUUUGGAAAGAGAGUCAAAUAGCACGUGAAAUUGUUGAAAGGGAAGCGCUUGCAGCCAGACUUGCCUGUAGUUGCUCAUCCGGGCUUUUGCCCGGUGCACUCUUCUGCGGGCAGGCCAGCAUCAGUUUGGGCGGUUGGAUAAAGGUCUCUGUCGUGUACCUCUCUUCGGGGAGGCCGUAUAGGGGAGGCGUCAUACAACCAGCCUGGACUGAGGUCCGCGCAUUUGCUAGGAUGCUGGCGUAAUGGCUGUAAGCGGCCCGUCUUGAAACACGGACCAAGGAGUCUAACAUCUAUGCGAGUGUUUGGGUGUCAAGCCCGAACGCGUAAUGAAAGUGAACGGAGGUGGGAACCCUUACGGGUGCACCAUCGACCGAUCCUGAUGUCUUCGGAUGGAUUUGAGUAAGAGCAUGGCUGUUGGGACCCGAAAGAUGGUGAACUAUGCUUGAAUAGGGUGAAGCCAGAGGAAACUCUGGUGGAGGCUCGCAGCGGUUCUGACGUGCAAAUCGAUCGUCAAAUUUGGGCAUAGGGGCGAAAGACUAAUC
Molecule: ribosomal RNA, 868 nt
Filed under: Coniothyrium palmarum
Lineage: Eukaryota; Fungi; Ascomycota; Dothideomycetes; Pleosporales; Coniothyriaceae
Description: eukaryotic LSU rRNA
Rfam family: Eukaryotic large subunit ribosomal RNA
Source: RNAcentral